GCGGUAUUGGUGAAGUGGUUAACACAUCGGUUUGUGGAUCCGACAUACGUGGGUUCGAUUCCCACAUACCGCC
Molecule: transfer RNA, 73 nt
Filed under: Latilactobacillus curvatus
Lineage: Bacteria; Bacillati; Bacillota; Bacilli; Lactobacillales; Lactobacillaceae
Also listed under: 3 other names
Description: Lactobacillus curvatus tRNA-His
Rfam family: tRNA
About the family: Transfer RNA (tRNA) molecules are approximately 80 nucleotides in length.
Source: RNAcentral